UACGUAUGGGGCAAGCGUUAUCCGGAUUUACUGGGUGUAAAGGGAGCGCAGGCGGCCUGGCAAGCCUGAUGUGAAAUACCGGGGCCCAACCCCGGGGCUGCAUUGGAAACUGUAAAGCUAGAGUGCCGGAGGGGUAAGCGGAAUUCCUAGUGUAGCGGUGAAAUGCGUAGAUAUUAGGAGGAACACCAGUGGCGAAGGCGGCCUGCUGGACUGCAACUGACGUUGAGGCUCGAAGGCGUGGGGAGCAAACAGG
RNAcentral lists this ribosomal RNA (253 nucleotides) under uncultured bacterium. Its description in RNAcentral is "partial 16S ribosomal RNA". It matches the Rfam family "Bacterial small subunit ribosomal RNA", at positions 524 to 776 of the family's 1533-position model. The record is from RNAcentral.